RNAcentral lists this ribosomal RNA (253 nucleotides) under uncultured bacterium. Its description in RNAcentral is "partial 16S ribosomal RNA". It matches the Rfam family "Bacterial small subunit ribosomal RNA", at positions 524 to 776 of the family's 1533-position model. The record is from RNAcentral.
UACGUAGGGUGCAGGCGUUAAUCGGAAUUACUGGGCGUAAAGCGUGCGCAGGCGGCUUUGCAAGACAGAUGUGAAAUCCCCGGGCUUAACCUGGGAACUGCAUUUGUGACUGCAUGGCUAGAGUGCGGCAGAGGGGGAUGGAAUUCCGCGUGUAGCAGUGAAAUGCGUAGAUAUGCGGAGGAACACCGAUGGCGAAGGCAAUCCCCUGGGCCUGCACUGACGCUCAUGCACGAAAGCGUGGGGAGCAAACAGG